Long non-coding RNA from Micropterus dolomieu (smallmouth bass), 649 nucleotides. RefSeq lists it as uncharacterized. NCBI's taxonomy places the organism in Eukaryota, Metazoa, Chordata, Actinopteri, Centrarchiformes, Centrarchidae. The transcript is spliced from 3 exons. The record is from RefSeq and is a predicted model, not a curated record.
UUUUACAGGCCCUGAGCAAGUGAAAGCAUCACCAAGGAUGAAUCAGGCUGAAUUGGGAGAAGAGGCAAACUCAUCUGUGUAUAAGAAGAGGCAGUAUAAGAACUCCUUGGAAGUACCUUUUAAUGUAGGUGGAGGCCGAGGAGGUUUAAACGUGCUGCCUUGCGCCAAAGUAUCCACAAUCCAGCUGAGAGCAUUUGAGCAAUACUCCAUCUGAGAGGGAAAAGACACAAAAGCUGUUUAUUGACAUACAGUUAAAGCUGGGGACUGUAGCACGGCCAAUCAGGAUGAAAGGAUUGGCCAGCCUACCUGUCUGUCUGUCUGUCUUCCUACCCACCUGCGGCACUCGUGGCACAUGAAAAUGUGUUUUGAGGGACCAGCUUUGGAGAGAGCCUUGUGGGGAAUGGGUAAGAUUUUUUGGGUUGGAUACUUUCAAAAUCUGUCUGUCUCUUUCUAGUUCUCAAAUGUGGCCACAUUUUUAUAUAGGUUUUUACUGUUUGUACUGUGCUGUAUUAUAUUGUUUGCUAACCACAGCUUUAAUGAGAAUUCUAGCUUGACCAAUGAAUAUCGUACAGUCCCAUAUGAACAUCAACUUAAAUAGUUCGUCAUUUUGGUAAAUACAAAAUCCGCUUUCUGGCAGAGUAAAAUGAGA